RNAcentral lists this long non-coding RNA (248 nucleotides) under Elaeis guineensis (African oil palm). Its description in RNAcentral is "long non-coding RNA (EGUI_LNC021267)". The record is from RNAcentral. Lineage: Eukaryota; Viridiplantae; Streptophyta; Magnoliopsida; Arecales; Arecaceae.
UUUCUUCUAAUUUUUUUCCUUUCUUUUUCUCUUCAAAACCUACACCUAAGUUCUCUUCCAAAUCCAUGCCAACCCAAUUGGAACACCCCUUAUUUACAAGAAACCAAGGGGCGCAGAAUACGAACACUUCCUUUGGUGCAACAUAUUCUCAUAUGGGACCAAAUAUUUUGGUUUCUGUGUGAGAUUAAUUCUCUGUGGAAACAAAAGGGUGUGGAAGAGACUUAAAAUAGAAGGACUCUUCCUUUCUG